GACGAACGCUGGCGGCGUGCUUAACACAUGCAAGUCGAACGGAAAGGCCCUGCUUUGGUGGGGAGCGCGAGGGGCGAACGGGGGAGUAACACGUGAGUAACCUGCCACUGACUUUAGGAUAACUUAAGGCAACUGGGGCUAAUACCGGAUAGGAGCUCCGGCUGCAUGGUGGGGGUGGGAAAGUUUCGGCGGUUGGGGAUGGAAUCGCGGAUCAUGAGCUUGUUGGUGUGGUAGUGGCUUACCAAGGCUAUGAAGCGUAGCCGGCCUGAGAGGGUGACCGGCCACGCUGGGACUGGGAUGCGGCCCAGACUCCUACGGGAGGCAGCAGUGCGGAAUAUUGCACUAUGGGCGGAAGCCUGAUGCAGCAACGCCGCGUGCUGUAUGACGUCCAUCGGGUUGUAUUCCGCUUUCGCCUUUGACGAAGCGUUAGUGACGGUACUGGGUGAAGAAGCACCGGCUAACUACGUG
RNAcentral lists this ribosomal RNA (468 nucleotides) under uncultured bacterium. Its description in RNAcentral is "partial 16S ribosomal RNA". It matches the Rfam family "Bacterial small subunit ribosomal RNA", at positions 28 to 507 of the family's 1533-position model. The record is from RNAcentral.